RNAcentral lists this ribosomal RNA (253 nucleotides) under uncultured bacterium. RNAcentral describes it as "partial 16S ribosomal RNA". It matches the Rfam family "Bacterial small subunit ribosomal RNA", at positions 524 to 776 of the family's 1533-position model. The record is from RNAcentral.
UACAGAGGGUGCAAGCGUUGUUCGGAUUUACUGGGCGUAAAGCGUACGCAGACGGCUUGGUAGGUCGGAUGUGAAAGCCCCGGGCUCAACCCGGGAAUUGCAUCCGAAACCACCUCGCUCGAGUGUGGGAGAGGGAAGCGGAAUUCCUGGUGUAGAGGUGAAAUGUGUAGAGAUCAGGAGGAACACCGGUGGCGCAGGCGGCCCGCUGGACGGAGACUGACGCUGAGGCGCGAAAGCGUGGGGAGCAAACGGG